GACGAACGCUGGCGGCGUGCUUAACACAUGCAAGUCGAACGGAAAGGCCCCUUUGGGGGUACUCGAGUGGCGAACGGGUGAGUAACACGUUAGUAACCUGCCCUUGACUUCGGGAUAACUUCAGGAAACUGGGGCUAAUACCGGAUAGGAAUCCUUGCUGCAUGGUGGGGGUUGGAAAGCUUCGGCGGUUUUGGAUGGACUCGCGGCUUAUCAGCUUGUUGGUGGGGUAGUGGCUUACCAAGGCUUUGACGGGUAGCCGGCCUGAGAGGGCGACCGGCCACAUUGGGACUGAGAUACGGCCCAGACGCCGACGGGAGGCAGCAGUGGGGAAUAUUGCACAAUGGGCGGAAGCCUGAUGCAGCAACGCCGCGUGCGGGAUGACGGCCUUCGGGUUGUAAACCGCUUUCAGCAGGGGCGAAGCUUGUGGUGACGGUACCUGCAGAAGAAGCACCGGCUAACUACGUG
This 465-nucleotide ribosomal RNA is filed under the name uncultured bacterium. Its description in RNAcentral is "partial 16S ribosomal RNA". It matches the Rfam family "Bacterial small subunit ribosomal RNA", at positions 28 to 507 of the family's 1533-position model. The record is from RNAcentral.